GUAAGCAUACUGAAACUGAAUGCACAUGGAUUUAACCGUUAUCCACUCUCUGAUUGUGACCUCAUCUGUGAAAAACCUCAUUCUAGAGCAGGGGUAUUCAACCUAGAGUCUGCCACCACUCUAGGGGUCCGCGAAAAUAUAGCAAUAUAGCAACAAAAAAGUAGCUAAAUUUCUUUUCUGAAUAUUGCUAGCAACAACAAAAUACACACAUUUUGAAUUACAUACCUACAGUAGGAAAUAGGACAAUAUGUUAUUUCUAAUGACGUCAACUUUAUUUCUCAACUGCCAAUUACACAUAGGGGAGAACUGUGACGAAAGUAACGCUUUUUGUUUUAGUUUCUAAUUACUCAGAGAUCGAUAGAGCUAGAGACACCAUAUUGUACGACAAACAACUUAUGUGUCCUCUACCAUUAGCAACUGUAAUUUCAUUUCUAUGGUAAAUGAGUUGAAAUUAAACAGACUGAGAACAGAACGACCGCAAUGUUACUUUUGUACUUGCCUGCGGGACGGGAGUAACAGCUGGCGAGGAGUGCACAAUAUUUGUCUCGUCUCCAUGUUUCUGGGUUGUAACGCUCGUUCAUUUCUACCAAUGUACUACCAGCCAUAAGUUCAUGUGUGUGCCGAUUUGAGAGGAGAUGGGAAACUGGACCCCCUAUGCAAGGAGGCCGUCAGUGCUGUGCAGAAUGCAUACUGAGAUACACCCACACUCUACCAGGAGAUUGGUCAAGGGGAUGAAUCUAAUCUAGUAGUAAACCUGAAGAGAAACACAGCAACAGACACUUUUUGUAUUUUUUUGAUGACAAGCAUUAUAGUACCAUACAAUAGUAUUCUCCAGCAUUAAGUCAAGUGUUGUUGUAUUUAUUGCUACAUAAUCUCGGAGACCCAGAAUCAAAUGUGCCGUGUAUGCUGGUCAUCUCAACAGUCUGUCGUGAGAGACUGCAACAUGCUAAUUGCGAAAUGUAGUCAUUAUAGUUUCUUAUGAUUUUUAUUUAGUGGUGAUUGACUGUGCUAUAGUUACUCUAUCAUUGUCAAUAUUGCCUCAGACAAUUUUGUGUCUGGUCCCUGUCUGAAAACAUACAUUACAAAAUCCAAAUAAUUCCCUUAACCUUUGGCAUACAACCAUUCUUAGAUCUGCUUCCUGUGGUCUCUCUCCUCAUCUGAAUAUGAUUACUUCUGCAAUCCAUUCUCAAUUAGCCUUAUGGGAGGGAUUGUGCACUAAUAGAAUCAUACCCCAUCGGUCAAACCACAGACCAAAUUAGCAGACCAAAUUUGCACUGCAAGCAAAAUCCAAACAGUCAUGCAAACACUGCCACACAGUCACAGUCUGGCCGCGUCCCAAAUGGCACCCUAUUCUCUAUGCGGUGCACUACUUUUGACCAGAGCCCUGGUCAAAAGUAGUGCACUCUUAAGGGAAUAGGGUGCCAUUUGGGACGCUACGUCUGAGGCUAGGCUCAAUGUCAGCUUCAAAGUUAACCAAAAACAUAUGGAGGUGCUUAUAGGGGUUCAUGGCACUUACCACAUUUCAUUUCAAUGCAAUCAAGCCCCCCCCACACACACACACACACAUAUAAAUACAGUACGCCUCCUACGUGAUUGUCCUCGAAACGUUAUUAAUGCUUUAUUACUAAAACAGCCAGCUUGGAGGACUUUCUUUUUGGAAGAAUAUCAGACAACCAAAAGAGAACCUUGUCCCCCAUCUUCUGAAAGAGCCGAGAUGAUUACCUCCGUUUCUUCCUGUGCGGCAUCAGUGUAUACAUCCCAAAUGUCACCCUAUUCCAUAUAUGGUGCACUACUUUUUACCAGAACAAGUAGAAGUAGUGCACUAUAUAGGGAAUAGGGUCCCAUUCGGGACGCAAUGUCUAGCACUGAAACAUAUUUAAGGGGGAGUAAACAAAAAGAAACAAACUGAAAUAUACUCUCUGUUUCUCUCCUCGCGCCUCCACCCUCCUAAACUAUUGCCUAAAGCUCCUGUUUUUAACAGCUCUUUAACAGUUUGCUAGAUUUUCAACCUGGCUAGGUGGAUAGCACAGUUAAUGUACCUGACAGCGAAGCUAUGGAAUUCAGAGAAAACAUCUGGGUGUCAAAUAAAAGCAAUUGUCAAAGCAAAUAGACUCAGGCAGUAGUGAAAUCCUUUAGGAGGGUUAUUGUGAUGUCAAUGCUAUUGAAUAACUGGUAGAGAAUACAGCCAGCUGGCCCCACUUGCCUGAUUAAAGGUGUG
Molecule: long non-coding RNA, 2218 nt
Filed under: Salmo salar (Atlantic salmon)
Lineage: Eukaryota; Metazoa; Chordata; Actinopteri; Salmoniformes; Salmonidae
Description: lncRNA (ENSSSAG00000095020.1)
Source: RNAcentral